GUUUCGUGUGUUAGUGCUUGAAGCUUUGUCCAUCCUUCCAAUUGCUAGUCACUAUUCUUCAUUGAAUGGUGAUUAGUAUUGGAUCUUUUACUUUGAAAAAAUUAGAGUGUUUCAAGCAGGCUUUAUGCUAUGAAUACAUUAGCAUGGAAUAAUAAUUUAGGACUUCGGUUCUAUUUUGUUGGUUUCUAGGACUGAAGUAAUGAUUGAUAGGGAUAGUUGGGGGUGCUAGUAUUCAGCGGCCAGAGGUGAAAUUCUCGGAUUCGCUGAAGACUAACUUAUGCGAAAGCAUUCACCAAGGAUGUCUUCUUUAAUCAAGAACGAAAGUUGGGGGAUCGAAGACGAUCAGAUACCGUCGUAGUCUCAACCAUAAACUAUGCCGACUAGGGAUGAGUGAACGUUGCAUUUUCGACUUCAUUCGCACCUUAUGAGAAAUCAAAGUCUUUGGGUUCCGGGGGGAGUAUGGUCGCAAGGCUGAAACUUAAAGGAAUUGAUGGAAGGGCACCACCAGGAGUAACAUAUCGCUCCUGAACAGUAUGCAUAUUACUAGUCGCAAUAAUAAUGAUGUCCGACUAAACUAGAGAAUUGCUGGUAACAACUGAUCGACAUUCAUUGCUAAGCUCUACACCAGCUGUAGAGUGGCCCUGAGCGAAAGCUAAGGGUGCAGAGACAGAUGAUUUGUCAAGUUCGUUCAGCAGCUAAUGCAGACCUGGUCCACUGGUACUGCAGAAGUUCAG
RNAcentral lists this ribosomal RNA (734 nucleotides) under uncultured eukaryote. RNAcentral's name for it is "bacterial SSU rRNA". It matches the Rfam family "Eukaryotic small subunit ribosomal RNA", at positions 663 to 1638 of the family's 1831-position model. The record is from RNAcentral.